AGGUUGUGGCUCAUGCUGAGAUACACACUUGCAAAAUAAAAUUUGCCAGUGUACAAGUCAAAACAGGGAUUCUGCACCACCCUGUACCAGAUGAGUAAGGACCAGAAGAUGCUGCUGUGCACCCCCUUCUCAUGUCAUUGAUAUGGUCUUUGGAGAGAAGAGGCUCAGAGCAAAGCUUAAUGAUUUUACCACACAUGUUCUGAUGCCCUUAUCUUUCGUUAGAAACUAUAGGUAUAAGUGGUUCCUGGGGGAGGCAUGUGACUCUGUUGUGACAAGUUCAAUUGUAUUUGUUGCAUGGUAUAAAAUAGUAUCACGUCUGCAGCUAUGUUAUCAAUAUAUCAUGUACAGUAUUUAAAACUCUAGUCGGUCCAAAACAAACAAACAAACAAACAAACCUGAUAGAGGAAUCAUAAUGAUUCCCCUUAGAAGCUGAAGACCCAAACCAGUCUUGCAAAGAAUGCCUUACAAUGAAAUAUAUCCUGAAAGUCUCUUUUCUUCUACUACUCUAGAAUAAUACCAGCUUCUCAAAACAGGAAAGAGUGUCAUUUCUAGUGUCCCUUUGAACAUUACUUACUAUAUGAAAGUUAUUUAUGUCAUUUACUAUAUGAAAAAAAAGUGUUGUUUUAAUUGCCUUUCCAUUGUAUUAUAGUUUUGCAUUUUGAUUGGCAUAACCAUUCCUGAUGUAUAUUUACUGAAAUGAAAGUUUGGUUCCAUUAUGGAACAGAAGAUCAUAACUAUUUAUUAUUUCACUUGAAAGCAGGUGGGGGUAUAAAUCAUAAUUAAAAUAAAAAAUCCCUUAAGAAUUCAAUAAACCUUUAUCACUUUCCAAUAAACAUGAGCAGUGAUACUAAGUCUUGUGAAAAAUGUUACCAGGUUUCCCUUUAAGCUUUCCUGAGCUAAUGGCUGCAACCUCUCAUUUCACAGGGCAAGGCUCUAGUUCUUUCUCACACACUGAUCUUUCUCAACCCAAAGCCUUAAGUCCUCAGUGCUCCUAGGGAACCUAGCUAGUUCAAGUCACUAGCACUUACGUAUUCAGAAGUAAAACUUGAACUCUGGUGCCCACACCCAAGUUGUAUAAUUUUUAAUUGCACACUUGGCAGUAAUUCCUGGUCAGACCUGAUCUGGGCCCAAUUGGUUGUCGCUUGAGCAUACAUAUUAUUAGCAAAUCCUUUAAAGUUAUAUAGUUUCAUUUCUGAAUAUACAUUUGUGACUUGGACUCAAAACUAAAGAGGAAUCUUAAAAUCCUAGAGUUUGGAGGUCUUCUACUUCAACUAAAGCCUAUUAAGUUUCUCUCAGUAUAAAUAAAACCAGUCUCUACUUAAAUCAUUCUGAUGAUAGAGGCCUCACUUCCUCCCCGAGAAGCCCUUUCUAUGUUCUAAUAGCUCUGAUCGGGAGAAAGCCAUAAUCUCUAUUGGGCUGAAAUCUGCUUCCAGUAAUUUCUAGCUAUUGGUUUUAGCUCAACCCUCUGGAAUAACAGAAUGUUGGCUCAUUUAUACUUCCAUAGGUUUAUAAGGCCUAGAAAUAUUUGAUGAUGACUUUUCAUCUGUAUACCCAAGUGUACUAUAUAUAAAAGAUCUGAGAGAGCUAUAAAUAGAACUCUAUAAAGUGUGUAUGUAUAUGUAUAUGUAUACUUAUAUGUAUAUGUGUGCAUAUGUGUGUGUGUGUGUUUGUGUAGAGAGAGAGAUAGAGAAAGAGAGAAGGAAAGAAAGAGACAUAGAGGGAGAGAAAGGGAGAGAGGGAGAGAGGUAUGCAUUAUAGCAAAAAUAAGAGUGAAAAAGAAGAAUAAUUUCAUUUUCAAUUUUGAAUAAGCUUAGAGGCUAGGAAGGACCAAAUAAAAGUUGUUUAACAGGACUAUCAUAAAACAUUCUGAAAAAGAAUAAUUUCCACUCAACUUAAUUAGAAUAUUUGUAUAAUCUAAUUGCAGAUUGGUGACUGAAUGAAGUCUUUCCAGAGUAAGAAAUAACAUAAUCCCAAAUAAAAGAGCAUUCAGAGUAGUCUCUCAGAGGCAGGAGGAUAGCUGAGGAGUCUCCACCCUUCCCUGAUGGAGGUUUUUCAAUCUGCAGAGAAGCUGAGGGACAGGAGCAAGCUGCUCCCUGCCUGAAGAAGGCGGCCCCUCUUAAAACUUACCAGCCACACCCUUACUGACCUAGGCCUGUGAAAAGGUGCACAAGGCACUCUCUUUUGCCCCACAUUUCCUCCUCCUUCCUUAACCCCACUCUUGUUUUUCUUUUUUAUUAUCAUCUGCAAAGGAUUUCUGCUAUUUCUUGAAAAAAUUGUCGGGGUCUAUGCUAAAUCUUUUAUCUAAACCAAUUCAGUUAACUGGAUGUCACUGGAAGCAAACGGCACAAAGACAGCAGGAGUAGGUUUGAACAUGAACACCUUACUUCUAGGUUACUAGGUGUGUUUAGUUUUUUUUUUUUUUUUUAACUUUCACCAGAUACUUCAUGAUUGCAUCAUUCUUCACAUGACUCCAUGGGCUGAAGAAAAGGUAAUGAAGAACAUUGAUGAUGUAUUGGAAAUUAGUGACAAUGCAUGUAAUUUAAAAAAAAAAAAAAAAGACAAGACAUUGGAGAUGGACUUUGUAGUUAAAGAAACUUUGGGUACUGGAAAUACCACGGAGAUUAAGCCUCUCUUAAUCUUCCCUUUAUUAUUCAGAGAUGACAUCUUUUCUUCUUCACCUACUUAAGGUGUAUGAGGCAAGGAGAGGAGGUUCUCUUUGAAGGCUACAAGUUUAACCUGUUAGUUCAGUUUCUUUUUUACCAUGGAUGCAUAUACAUUACUUACAAAUAAAUUAAAGAGGGGCACCUGGGUGGCUCGGUGAGUUAAAGCCUCUGCCUUCAGCUCAGGUCAUGGUCUCAGGGUCCUGGGAUCAAGCCCCGCAUUGGGCUCUCUGCUCAGCAGGAAGCCCGCUUCCCUCUCUCUCACUCAGCCUGCCUCUCUGCCUACUUGUGGUCUCUCUCUGUCAAAUAAAUAAAUAAAAAUCUUUAAAAUAAAUAAAUAAAUUCAAGAAUGUGAUUCUCUUUUCUUCUCCACAGCAACUCCAAAGUCUCACUCAGCUUUUCAAAGACAAGCUAAAUAAUAGACAUUUCAUUUUGCAAAUGUAUUUCUCAAAUUGUUUCCAGCCCCAGGAUCAUUUAAGGAAGGAGAGAAGGAGGAGCCAUUGGGAAGGGCAUGAGGGGGCUUCAGAGUACUGGCAAGGUUUUCUACCUGGAAGACAGUUACAUGGGUGAGUUCAUGUUGUGAUAUUUUAUCAACCUGUACACAUAGGAUUUGUGCGCUUGUCCCUAUCUAGUGUUGGGCUUUAACUAGAGAUGUUUAGUUUUUUUUUUUUUUUUUUUUUAAAGAUUUUAUUUAUUUGACAGAGAGAAAUCACAAGUAGAUGGAGAGGCAGGCAGAGAGAGAGAGGGAAGCAGGCUCCCCAUGGAGCAGAGAGUCCAAUGUGGGACUCGAUCCCAGGACCCUGAGAUCACGACCCGAGCCGAAGGCAGCGGCUCAACCCACUGAGCCACCCAGGCGCCCCGAGAUGUUUAGUUUUAAAAAGAAGAUGUAAGUGUUAGUGAAAUAUCUUUGAAAAAUCUUAAAUGUCUCAGGGAAAAAACGAUCAAUGGUUCAAUAAAAUUCUACAUGUAUUAUUAAUCUUAGCUUAUCAGAGUCUCUUAAAUUAUUUUAAUUAGUUAGGGGAUACCUAACUUGUAGGUUUUCACUCUGUCAAUUUUAACCUGUCUAGCUGAGUACAGCUAGAGUUGGUUAAAGUUGGCAGUUAAGGAAGUAGAUUUUGAGGGGAUCACACAAUAACUGCCUUCAGCUCAGGUCAUGAUCCCAGAGUUUUGGGAUGGAGCCCUGCGGUUGGCUCCCUGCUCAGUGGUGAGUUUGCUUCUCCUUCUCCAAUCUCCCUCUUCCGCUGUGAUCUCACUCUCACUCUCUAAAUAAAUAAGUAAGUAAAUAAAUAAAACAUUCCAAAAGUACAAUCCUGGCCCCAGAAAAUAACUGGUCUAUCUCAAAAUGUCUGGAGCACGAGCGGGUAUUCUCUGUGGCUUCAGAUACUUUCUUCAGAAUCUAAGCUAGCGAAUGUGCCCCUAAGACUUACUUGGUACUACGGUUUAGCUAGUGUCCCCCGCAUGAGGACUUCAGGCCUCCAUCAACGACUUUCACUUGAACUUUUAUCGUGGAAUGCUUCUAGGAAAAGGGUAGAAUGGAAAAGAAGAUAGGAUAUGAGCACUGGAAGGGCAAAAAGAACAUCAUUAUUAACAUAAAUAGGGGCAAGAGAAGGAAAUAUGUAAUUCCUGCAUAUUCACAGAAUCCCUUGAAAGGAACAUGUAGAUCAGGAAUGCUGUACAUGAUAUGUCAUAGGGAAACUUGUACAUCAACAAUACAACCAGCAGGACACAACCUAAACAGUAGUAUCUUUAAGUUUUAGUUUCUGGUUUGUAAAAUGGGUAUAAAUUAGAGCUUUUAAUUAAAAAAAGGAAAAAAGGAUUUUAUUUAUUUAUUUGAGAGGGAGAGAGAUAGCGAGAGAGAAAGAGAGCAAAAGCAGUGGGAAGAAGGAGAAGCAGAAUCCCCACUGAGCAGGGAGCCCCACAGGAGGCUCAAUCCCAGGACCCUGGCAUCAUGACCUGAGCCAAAGGCAGCCGACUGAGCCAACCAGGAGCCCCAACCUUUUAAAUUCUUUGAAGUAAAAUGAAU
Mustela lutreola (European mink) is the source of this 4683-nucleotide long non-coding RNA. RefSeq lists it as uncharacterized. The record is from RefSeq and is a predicted model, not a curated record. Lineage: Eukaryota; Metazoa; Chordata; Mammalia; Carnivora; Mustelidae. The transcript is spliced from 3 exons.